GCGUCCAUAGCUCAGUUGGUAGAGCAACUCCCUUUUAAGGAGAUGGUCGGGGGUUCGAAUCCCUCUGGACGCACAA
Molecule: transfer RNA, 76 nt
Filed under: Candidatus Portnoybacteria bacterium RBG_13_41_18
Lineage: Bacteria; Candidatus Portnoyibacteriota
Description: tRNA-Lys
Rfam family: tRNA
About the family: Transfer RNA (tRNA) molecules are approximately 80 nucleotides in length. Their secondary structure includes four short double-helical elements and three loops (D, anti-codon, and T loops).
Source: RNAcentral